This 426-nucleotide ribosomal RNA is filed under the name uncultured bacterium. RNAcentral describes it as "bacterial SSU rRNA". It matches the Rfam family "Bacterial small subunit ribosomal RNA", at positions 355 to 796 of the family's 1533-position model. The record is from RNAcentral.
CAAGGAAUUUUCGUCAAUGGGGGCAACCCUGAACGAGCAACGCCGCGUGGGCGAAGAAGUCCUUCGGGAUGUAAAGCCCUUUUCCCUGGGAAGAAAUAAAGACGGUACCAGGGGAAUAAGCAUCGGCUAACUACGUGCCAGCAGCCGCGGUAAUACGUAGGAUGCAAGCGUUGUCCGGAAUUAUUGGGCGUAAAGAGCGCGCAGGCGGUCACUCAAGUCAGAUGUGAAAUAGCCGGGCUUAACCCGGAGGGGUCAUUUGAAACUGGGCGACUAGAGUACAGCAGAGGAUAGCGGAAUUCCCGGUGUAGUGGUGAAAUGCGUAGAUAUCGGGAGGAACACCAGUGGCGAAGGCGGCUAUCUGGGCUGAAACUGACGCUGAGGCGCGAAGGCUAGGGGAGCAAACAGGAUUAGAUACCCGCGUAGUCC